GUCUUAGAUUUCACAGAAUUAAUAUUGUUAUUUGGAAUGGUUUAUUUCCUGGAGAAGAAGAAAGAGAUGACAAAUAAAUGGAUGUUUAUCUUUUGUUCAAAAUAAUUCCUGGAAAUAGCUGAAAAUGGAAGCAGCUACCAAAGUCGAUUUAGUCAUUUCUGAAACCAAAGCAAAAUCUAAGAAAUAUGAAAGGAGUAAACCCUGUAGUCAAAGAUCUCAUUCCAGUUUGGCUGAAAAUGGCCGGAAGAUUUAUAACAACGGAUGUUGUUACACCAUCCGUCAGAAUGAAGGAGAUUCUUAUAAAUAUCAAGUAAGACCUGAUCAUGUGACCAAAACUGAUCACAUGACCAAUGAGCCUGGUAGUUCAAGUCAGAAAUACUCAAGGACAAAUAAAAAUAUAUUUCGGUCAGCCAGUGCGCCAACUGGACAAUUUCAGACAAAUGUUCCAGAUUAUUAUUCCUUACCAAUAUUUCAUAAUUCAGGAAAUCAAAUCGAUUCUGUAAGAAAUGGUGAGAAAUAUAAAAGGAGAGUAGAUUACAAGAAAGAACGAACUGUUGAUUUGGUUCCAAGGAAUCAUCAGGGUUUGUUUGAGACGACAAGUGAGGAUUUAAGACAGAAAGAUGGUAAUUAUGAUUCUAACAAAUCUGUAAAAUUAAGUUCUCGUUAUGUAAAUAUCAUUAGUUACAUUCAAAAAAAUGGGGAAAUUCCUCUGGAUUUUAUACGCUUGGAAAGUGAGUUUAAUAAAAGACCAAAGAAGUUGGCCACAGAGGUAAAAAAGAGUUCCAGGUCCCAUUGGCAUUUGGAUGGUUCUUAUGAAGUCAUGGGACAGCAUCCAAAAGAGGAUUAUUUUAAACGUGAGAGGAAAGGAAAACGUGUUGUAGAUUGUUUUAAUAAACCCUCUGAUGAGAACAAUAAAACCGUGCCAUCACCAUUGAAAGAAUUCAAUAGACUUUGUCACACAAAUUCUUCAGAAUGGUCCAUUAGAACUUCUACAAAUAAAACUAAAUUAAGUUUUCCUUACAUAAAUGAUGGUUUGUCUUCAGUUGACGCUGAAAAUGAAUGCCAUGUACCACAAAUGGCAAACGAACCAAUUAAUUUGAAUGGUUCUUCUCAUAGAAAUUCGGUCUGUAGUAAUAAGUUAAACAAUCACGGAAAUAGCCACAGAAUGUUGGGAUAUUGCAGAGAAUAUAGAUAUGAAAAUUCCAUGGAGGAUGUGAAAUAUGCUGGAAUCUCAGCAGUUAUUGGAAUCGACAAAAAUGGACGAAAUUCAGAUUGUAAAAGAGGGGACAAAGAACCAAAUACACGAUUAAGAAAGGACAAUACAUGUUUUGAUUCUGGGAAAAACUCAGGGAAUGAAUAUAUUUUGGUUCAGGACAAGGUAGAACAGAGCAGUGCAAUCGAUCUUUUGAAUAAGUCAACAUUAGACUGGUCGGUCUCUCAAAUUGACGGUGUUGACAAUCAGAGUGACAGCUUUGGAGAUGUGUCACCUUGCGAAGAAUCUAACAGUGGUUUGGAGAACAGUGGAACGGAGUGUUUACCAUUCCAUGUUACUAAGGAUAACCGACAGAAAGGGAGCUAUGACAGAAAGGAGAAAUGUUUGAGUCGGAAAGAAAGGACUUUACCAAACCUAACAUCUUCUCCACGUCCAUCUGAUAAGCCAUUUUGGGAAAGACAGCAAAAACCAAAUUUCUUUCAAGAAGCAAAUGAAAUAGAAAAAAUUCCUGAUAAAUUCAUCCAAUACAAAUACUUGCUGGCUUGGUACCGGGAAUGGCGGAAGCAUUGCAGUGCCAAAGAUCUGCAGAGGAAGCACAGUCUUCGCAAAGGUCUGAAGGCUUUGAACCAGGCAGCUUUGAAGAGUCGGUUAUUGUCAGAAUCUCUCCAAGAACGCAUCAACCAGUUGUGGCUUAAGUCCUGCCUCCAAAAAUGGGAAGUGAAGACAAAGAUUCAUUUACGGGAUCGAUUGAUGUCAGCUUUGCAGCUGUGGAAGGAAAACGCAGCUUUGAAGAAAAGAAUACGGAUCCUUCAACAAAUAAACGGCAGGAAUCGUCUCAAAGUUUCCUUCACGAAAUGGCAAUUACAUUUUCGGAAAAAUCAACUUCAAUCCAAGGCCGAUCUUCAUUACAGAAAACAGCUGACCUUAAAGAUGUGGUGUUGUUGGUGUCACUACAACAGACGCAGGCAACACCUGAAGACUAUGGAACUGGCAGCCAGGAAGCAUCACAGACAUAAGUGUAUCCAAGUUACAUUCCACAGAUUCUACACCAUUUUUAAAAGUCAUUCAAUAUCAUUGUUGCACUACAGGCACCGCACAAUAAAAAAAGUGUUCCAUCUUUGGAAAAAAGCCGCAACCAUUUCAAUGGCAGAGAGCCACGAUCUUGUGCUGCAUGUGAUGCAGUCAUGUGAUCAGUUGAUACUGAGAAGAGCUGUUGCUCAUUGGUCGAAUCAGUUGUGGUUGGUGAGAGAAAGCCAUCGAGCUGACCAAUGGAUGCUCAGACGAUUCCUGAAGAAAUGGCAUCGAAAAUGGCACAACAAAACUGAGUGGCACCAACAUGUUGUGAAGACAAUUCAUUCACAGAAGAAAUCUAAGAUUCUUAAGCAAUGGCAGCGGAAUGUGAUUUGCCGGAAGAAUCAGUGCAUCUCUGCCACAGAACAUAUACAGAAACUGUAUUUAAUGAAACUGUUUACCAAAUGGAAGAAUUUCGGUCAAAGGCAGAAACAGACAAGAUUUUGUCUGAGAUUUCAACAAGAAAAAUGGUGGAAGCGGAUGAAAACAGUUUGCUUUGAAAACUGGAGAUGUUUCUUUAUCAAGAGGCUUCAAGCUAAACUGAUCCACCAAUGUUGGUCCCACAUGUGUGUACGGAAGGCCAUUAAACACUGGAAAGAACUUCACCACCAGAUGGCGUUGGAGAAAUUCGCAAAUCACUUUAAAUCUGUACAGAAGAAUCUACAACUGAGAGCAGUUUCAAGAGAUGGACAUCGACGCUUCAGAAGGUUUAUGAAGAGAAAGAGGAAGCGAAACAAGCGGAAAAGGUGCUGCAGGAGAGACUGGUCCAUUUUAUUUUCCACCAGUGGUACAGGAUGAGUUUGAACUCACAAACCUCAAAACCUCUGCUGUUACGUUACCACAACAAACUACUAGCCAGAGUUACCAAAUCUUGGCACCAACUGAUUAUUCGGAAGCACCAAUGCUCGGACAAUUCCCUGUUAGUCUACAGAGCUCAACUGUCGAAAUAUUUCACCAGG
RNAcentral lists this unclassified non-coding RNA (3243 nucleotides) under Octopus sinensis (East Asian common octopus). RNAcentral's name for it is "protein SFI1 homolog, transcript variant X2". The record is from RNAcentral. Lineage: Eukaryota; Metazoa; Mollusca; Cephalopoda; Octopoda; Octopodidae.